UGGGGAAUUUUGGACAAUGGGGGCAACCCUGAUCCAGCAAUGCCGCGUGUGUGAAGAAGGCCUUCGGGUUGUAAAGCACUUUUGUCCGGAAAGAAAACGCCGUGGUUAAUACCCGUGGCGGAUGACGGUACCGGAAGAAUAAGCACCGGCUAACUACGUGCCAGCAGCCGCGGUAAUACGUAGGGUGCAAGCGUUAAUCGGAAUUACUGGGCGUAAAGCGUGCGCAGGCGGUCCGCUAAGACAGAUGUGAAAUCCCCGGGCUUAACCUGGGAACUGCAUUUGUGACUGGCGGGCUAGAGUAUGGCAGAGGGGGGUAGAAUUCCACGUGUAGCAGUGAAAUGCGUAGAGAUGUGGAGGAAUACCGAUGGCGAAGGCAGCCCCCUGGGCCAAUACUGACGCUCAUGCACGAAAAGCGUGGGGAGCAAACAGGAUUAGAUACCCUGGUAGUCCACGCCCUAAACGAUGUCAACUAGUUGUCGGGUCUUCAUUGACUUGGUAACGUAGCUAACGCGUGAAGUUGACCGCCUGGGGAGU
Molecule: ribosomal RNA, 534 nt
Filed under: uncultured bacterium
Lineage: Bacteria
Description: partial 16S ribosomal RNA
Rfam family: Bacterial small subunit ribosomal RNA
Source: RNAcentral